UACGUAGGGCGCGAGCGUUGUCCGGAAUUAUUGGGCGUAAAGAGCUCGUAGGCGGCCUGUCGCGUCGGUUGUGAAAGCCCGGGGCUCAACCCCGGGUCUGCAGUCGAUACGGGCAGGCUAGAGUUCGGUAGGGGAGAUCGGAAUUCCUGGUGUAGCGGUGAAAUGCGCAGAUAUCAGGAGGAACACCGGUGGCGAAGGCGGAUCUCUGGGCCGAUACUGACGCUGAGGAGCGAAAGCGUGGGGAGCGAUCCGG
RNAcentral lists this ribosomal RNA (253 nucleotides) under uncultured bacterium. Its description in RNAcentral is "partial 16S ribosomal RNA". It matches the Rfam family "Bacterial small subunit ribosomal RNA", at positions 524 to 776 of the family's 1533-position model. The record is from RNAcentral.